This is an unclassified non-coding RNA of Erinaceus europaeus (western European hedgehog), 341 nucleotides long. Its record names the gene 7SK. It matches the Rfam family "7SK RNA". From Rfam's summary of the family: 7SK was discovered as an abundant small nuclear RNA in the mid-70s but a possible function has only recently been suggested. Two independent studies have found that 7SK RNA binds the CDK9/cyclin T complex (known as elongation factor P-TEFb). NCBI's taxonomy places the organism in Eukaryota, Metazoa, Chordata, Mammalia, Eulipotyphla, Erinaceidae. The record is from Ensembl.
GGAUGUGAGGGCAAUCUGGCUGCGACAUCUGUCACCCCCAUUGAUCGCCAGGGUUGAUUCAGCUGAUCUGGCUGGCUAGGCGGGUGCCCCCUUCCUCCCUCACUGCUCCAUGUGCGUCCCUCCCGAAGCUGCGCACUCGGUCGAAGAGGACGGCCUUCCCCAAAUAGAGACGGACCGGUCUUCGGUCGAGGGUAUAUGAGUAGCUGCGCUCCCCUGCUAGAACCUCCAAACAAGCUCUCAAGACAGGUGCACUGUUCAGGUAAGCUGGCUUGCCAGCCCUGGCUUACUUCCAAGGAACCGCCUAUACUACCUACCCAGACCUCAAACUACCCAUCUUUCUU